Molecule: long non-coding RNA, 1561 nt
Organism: Xenia sp. Carnegie-2017
Lineage: Eukaryota; Metazoa; Cnidaria; Anthozoa; Malacalcyonacea; Xeniidae
Exons: 2
Source: RefSeq, a predicted model, not a curated record
GUGCCAGACCUAAUAGAGAGCUAUUAUGCACGAUAAUACUGGCAACAUAAAUAAAAUGCCUAAAAGAAAUACAUAUUUCACUCGUGCAUUAGGUUGGAUUUUAGCAAUUGUUGCGAAGAUAAUAUUUUGAAAGUUAUAAUCGUAUUGUGCAAGACAAGGCGCGCUUUUUUUAAAGGUCUGUCUCGAAUUCGUCGUCAAUGUCAUCAUCUAAAAACUCCUCUUCCUCAACAUCAUUGUCGUCAUCAAUAUCUACAUUCGUGUUUGCAGUACACGACCAUACAUCUGUGUACUUCACUCCUGCUUUGUUACAUGAACAACGUUGGGAGUUACAGCCACGUUGCAGCCAGUCUUACAACCACAAUGAACGUUAUCAAGUAGGGAAUUCGGCGCUAGGGGAAUGGUCAUCCAUACGAUUUCAGACUUGCAGUUUCCCGUCACUCGUUUGCCACCCAUUUUCAUCCGGAGGAGUAAUAUCCAUUUGUGGUUGUAAACGGAAAGGCCAAAGCACGGCUUGGUACAAAAAUACCACUGAGUACAACCUACGAGGACAACCUACGAGCACAAGCUACGAGGAGACAAACUUAGGAGGCAUAGCCUACCGAAGUAGGUUGACAAGCUACAAUCUACCAGACAACUAUCUUGGCUUCUGUGCCAUAACUAUCUUUUGGCUUCUGUGCCUUUAAUCUAUUGGAAAACAAUUGUGAGUCAUCGUUGGACUCACGAACGCUCAAGAAUAAAGACUCGCGUUUGUACUCAGACAGGGAGAUAAGUUUUACUCAUACUUAUUGAUAUUAUUAUUAAGACACUCAUCUACUUUAAUAUUUACGCUUUAUUAAUAAAUUGUUUGAGAAAUAUAACUGGUUCACACUAUCUUUGUUGCGUGUGGAAAUAGAACCAAAAUUAAUAGUUAUUCUUUCGGGACCACGCACGUAACACAUAGGUUGUGAUGAUUGUUAAUCUUCAGUUAAGGCUUUAUGCUCAAGAUCAUGUUUUACAGUUCAAGAAAGAAUAUUUUUCAGUGUUGUAAAUUGUCAUGUUAUGUUGUGUAGAGUGUGAAUAUACCAUAUGAUAUAAACUGUAAAAUGUUAAGUCAUAUAUUACUAGACAAAUACGUAUAUAGUCACUAAACUGUGGUUUCAGUGGAAAUCCUGUACGUAAAUUCAAAAUACUUAGGAACACUUUUUCUACCCAAUGUGGCAUUGCGGUAGGAUGUAGGUAAUGACGGUACUCUAUAAACGGAAUGGCGUGUUGCAAGUCAUGCAAACGCCCAAAAUCAUAUCCUAAUAAUUAUAAUAUAAAUAAGAGCUUGCAAGCGUUGGUUCGGCAUUCGGAAAAACAGACGUUGUUAGACGUACAGAAGUGAUAAGUUGGAAGUCGUAUCGCAGGAGGCGAUAGCGUUUGAAUAAGUUUCAAGUUUAAAGAUUGACGGUUGGCCGUAAUCUCAACGUUUCAAUAACAUAUUUGUGUCGCAAAGAACCAACGUUUGGAACUCCGUAUCAUAAAUCGUGCACAAACCACUGUAAAUAUCCUAUCAAGUGUUAAAUACAAUUGUCAAAAUACA